RNAcentral lists this long non-coding RNA (211 nucleotides) under Spirodela polyrhiza (greater duckweed). Its description in RNAcentral is "long non-coding RNA (SPOL_LNC001380)". The record is from RNAcentral. Lineage: Eukaryota; Viridiplantae; Streptophyta; Magnoliopsida; Alismatales; Araceae.
UCUCUCUCCCGCUCUCCCUCCCUCACUUCCUCUCUCUCUCUCUCUAUCUAUCUAUCCAAUCAAGAAAAUAAUGGUUUGGAAUAUAUUUUUUUGUUAACUAAAAAGACGGAUAUCUAUCGCAUGACUCUUACAUGGACUCAUGACGAUAACAAGAAAAUACGCUCUACUUGACCCAAAAUAUAAUAUUUUUUGCGACUUAAACUCAAUCGAC